This is a long non-coding RNA of Lingula anatina, 1060 nucleotides long. RefSeq lists it as uncharacterized. The record is from RefSeq and is a predicted model, not a curated record. Lineage: Eukaryota; Metazoa; Brachiopoda; Lingulata; Lingulida; Lingulidae.
UUUCACUAGCGUCAAAUGAGAGCAGCAAGAUGUGGAAGCAAACGCUGGUACUUGUGUUAAUCGUUGCCGUGGUUUGCGCUACACAGACGUCUUACAACAGAUAUCCGUACAAAAAAGGCUACAGCGGUUACCGUGGCAACCAGCUUGGCGGUUACCACGGUGGUAAAUUUUUGAGCAACAGAUACAAAGGUUACCAUGGUGGCUAUGGUGGGUUAUACAGUUACUAUGGUAACUACCGCAGCCGUACACGUUACGGCAGAAAAUAUCGCAGACCAAGCUACAAUUUUAAACGAAAACCAACUUGGUACACGAAAAAGUACAGACACCCGUAUUACUGAGCAGUUGAGAGAAAUGAGUUUAGAUUUUCGGCGCAAAUAGAAGGUUGAAGGCGUUAGUCUCGUGACAUAGCUGAAGCAGUAUCUCUGAUAUUUGGCUGUCAUUUUAUCAAUCUUUAUUCAAUAUUCAACGUUGAUGCGGUUACGUCCAAUCUUGAAGGGCAUCGGAAACGUAGAUUCAGUUUGAGAGUAAGGCUGGAAAAAGAAGUUCUUGGCUGGAAUUUGCUUGAAAAAAGAUGCAGCUCGUUUCACCGAUACCACAAGGGUGUCCUUAAACUGGACGAAAAAGUAGAGACAAUUUACGGACCUCUAUAGUUAUCAUUUUCACAUACAUUCGUGCAGGACUCCGUUUAACAUAGAUCUUCAGUCAAUUAAAAUGAAGCACGCUUUUAUCUCUACCUCAUCUUAGUGUGCGCCAUUUGUUUUUCUUUUAACGGAAAAAGCUUCUUUGUGUGCUAGCGUAAUACUAUUACAAUGAUUUAUCUAUCACCCAAAGUACUUAAUAUUUACGGUUUCACAAGUUGAGGCAAGUUUUUAAUUUUAGGUCUCAUAAGUUGAAGCAAGUUUCUAUUUUAAAAGUAGGCCCCCGAUCUGCACUUAAAGGGAUAAUUGGUCUUGCAUUUUUACAUUUUUCAUAUUCAGCAAAAGAGGUUGAAAACCCGAGAUUUCCCCCAAUAUACUUUGAUGCGUCUUCAAAUAAAGGCAAAUAAAUCAUUGAUUUCUGU